AAAGAUAAGUAUGCAACUAUGAUUACUCAUUUACGUCAGGUCAAAGUGCAGCUUAUGGGAAGGUGAUGAUGGGUUACACCCUAAACAAAGAUACGGAAUAUGAUAUCAAAAGUCGUAUAAAGGAGGACUUGGACGUAAUAGUGACCCAAUUUCACAAUGAAGCCGAAUCUAAGACAUGCACACAUCGCCCGUCACUCUCGCCUAAAGGCGAGAUAAGUCGUAACAAAGUAGGUGUAACGGAAGUUGCACCUGU
Molecule: ribosomal RNA, 253 nt
Filed under: Allolobophora chlorotica
Lineage: Eukaryota; Metazoa; Annelida; Clitellata; Crassiclitellata; Lumbricidae
Description: partial 12S ribosomal RNA
Rfam family: Bacterial small subunit ribosomal RNA
Source: RNAcentral